RNAcentral lists this long non-coding RNA (3136 nucleotides) under Ficedula albicollis (Collared flycatcher). Its description in RNAcentral is "lncRNA (ENSFALG00000023776.1)". Lineage: Eukaryota; Metazoa; Chordata; Aves; Passeriformes; Muscicapidae. The record is from RNAcentral.
GAAGAAUAUUUUUAGCAUGCCGUCAACGUGCAUGUGAGGACGUGUGUGCUGUGAGAGCAUGCGGUGCAGAGGCCACAUCCCUGUGAUUUAUCAGCUAUCCUCACCCUUGCAGGCAGACCUGGAGAGACCCACUCUGACCCCUCCAGCAUUGCAGGGAAACCUGUCGUUUGCAAGAGGAUGUUCAUUCACAGUGACGGGGAGUCUUCUGCCCAAAUCAAACCUAGGCUUUCCAGCUACUCAUGCUCCCUGCUUUAGUUACAUGUCUGGAAGAGAAGACCCAGUUAUCUGCCAAAGCCAUCAGCCUGCAAGCGCUCGCAGGAACUCGUGUGCUCUCCCUGCUGAUCUUGCUGGUUUUGCAAGGAAAAGCACUCCUGGCUGCAGAGGACGUCUGGUGCUCACAGGAGGGACGAAGCAGAUCCAAAACUGUAGUGCUCCCAGAUGAGGUGGGAUGGUGGGAACAACCAGCAGAGGUGGAAGGAUUCCUAUUCACAUGUGUGAUGACACCAGGACACAUCCCUGUGGUCCCCUCCCUGUCCCAGCACCCUCUCCAGAUUUACACGUCUCUGGAGGGGAGCAGGGACCGCAGCCGAGAGCCCGGUGCUUUGCCAUCGCUGCUGUGUGCUGGAGUGAGCCGGGGCAGCUGCCGGAGGACGCUGGAGGCAUUGUGCUGCCGGACAGGUUUGAAGGCUGGUGUUAAUGAGCUGGUGUUAAAGGGCUGGUGUUAAUGGGCACCCUGAUGGUGAGAAGUCAGCACUGGAGCCGAGCCGAGCCGUGCCGGGGCUGGAGCUGGGGGUUCUUCCACGUGGCUGUCACCGGAGAGUGAAGAGUCAAGCUGCAGUAACUCCCCGGUGCAGACAAGAUCCUGAACCGCAUCGCUUUAAUUACGCCAGCGCAAAUUUCAUUCAUUUGGUUAAGCCUGGGAGCUACAGAAAGAGCUAUUUCCAGGUGUGCUGGUUCAAUUAUUGCAUGCCCUGCUUUCCCCACCGUGCACAGCUGCAUGGCCGGGGUUUGUCGGGCUCUCCGGCUCCGGGACGAGUUCGCAGCCAUCAGCACAGCAAUGGCCCCACUCACGCCUCUGCACAUCCCGGCACACGGGCUCUGCUUGGGUCAGAUAAAUGGGUUUUAACCUGAUUUGUGCUGUAAUCUCCAUGUCGACAGGCUGUCAUCACGCACAGGAUAAAACCCCAGCUCCUGUGGCCAGGGCUCUGUGGGGUUUCACUGGACAGCUCCUGCCAGCAAGGCUGGCUGAUGACUCCAAGCCAAGUGGCUUCCCUGUCCUGGCAUCCCAGGGACACCUCUGGGCCGUGGGUGUUUGCAAAACAGCUUUUGUUUGCUUAACUCCUUGUACUGGAGCAGAGGCACAGCUCCCACUGCCCUGUCCCUCCUCCACAGGCAGGAACAGGGCGAUAGUGCUGCUGCCCAGGGCAGGCAGCUCAGUGCCAGCCCUGCCAUCCCACCCCUGGAAAAAAUAGCACCUUCUGGGUGCGUUAUUUGUACUUUCCUUUUCUGAACCUGCCUUAAAAAGAAGGGCUUGGGUUUCAAAGGCACAGCAUUUAAAUUACAUUCUUCCCUGCUCGUCCAGCUCUUUGCUGUAAUCUUAUUACUGUACGGAGCAAUGAGUGUGCGUGGGACAUGGUGGGAUUUUAACUGUAAUUCAUGGACAGAUAUAAAAUGCCGGGGUUAUUACGAAUUUUAUUCAGGAGAGUUUAAAUGUUACUGGUUCAGCAGUGCCUCUUUCCAUGCUUCCUUUGCAGCAGCUUUUGUUCAACCUCUCAGCUCACAGAAUUUAUUGUAUUGUUGGUGGCUUGCUGUAAUUCUCCAGGUUUUCAAAUAAUCCCAGGAAAACAGUUAACUGGAGCCUCUGCUUUAGUCUACAUUCACUGCAAAGCAUGUGGAGCCAAAGUCUGUCUUUCCUGACACCCCUGGCAAAUCCCUUGGGUUCAUCUGGGAAAACUGCCACUCUGAAUUUCAAAAUCAUGUCAGUGGGAGACGGGUCAGGAGCAUUGCAGGGAGCAGGGAGCACCAAAACCUGGGUCCCAAUGUUGCAGUCAGUAUUUGGGAAAGGUUCUCACCCAGCUCACAGCAGGGCACAGAGUUUUACUGGUACCAGUAACUACUCCCCAGGCAGACACAUCGGGAGUCGCGGUGAAUGGCCUUGGGAUGGAAUGUCUGUGAUGUAGCUCCUAGCUAGGUUUCGAUGGCCAUGGUGAUCACUGAUGACAUUGCAGUGGGAUGCAGAGCACUCCCAGACGUGGAUUCAGCCUGAUUCUCCUGGGAUUUGCCCAUUUUUCAUAACCUAACACACACACAGUGAGGUUUUGCACAUACGUCCCCACAAAGGCAACCCCUUUCCUGUCUUCACUCACUUCUGAAAAGCUUCAGAAAGCUUUUCCCUCUGCCAUAACUAAACCCUCCCUGCUGCUGCCAGAGCUCAUUCGCCAUUCUCUGCCCCCUGUGGAGAUACUUUGCCCCUCCUUUGCAUCCCCUGCCGACAUCCCUCAGACCUUCCCCAGCAGAGCCAGGUGGAUGUUUUGAAACCAAAGGGUUCUCUUUCAUCUAUUCCCACCUCUCCUCUGGCUCUGCCCCGCUGCAUCUCUCUGGACGUGCAUUGCACACGUAGCACACCCAGCACCCGUCAGCCCUGCUCAUCCAUCUCACACACCUUAAUCAAUGGGAAACUUGAGGAAAAGCCCAUAAACCAGAUGGGAAGUGAGGAUUGGAUUUGCAAUGUGCUGGUGCUAAUGGAAACCAUCCUUCACUGCAUAAUCAGAAGGAAUGGCCACACAUAACCCAUCAUUUCUGCCCAGGGUGCUCACAGGGCGGCCCUUUUGAGGACACGUGGGAUGAUGAGCCCUGGAGGCUCCAGUGUCCCUGCAGUGAUAACCCACAGUGAUUUGCAUGAGCAACAUCUGAUGCUGAGCACAGAGUCACCAGACUCCCUAGUGCCUGCAAAUCGGGGCAGCAAAUUGUCACGUCCCUAAAGCCAGCACAGCACUGUUUGCACACAGAAACCCUACAAAUUCCCAUUUUGCUGAUAUUUGUAAUUUCCCAGGAUAAGCCUGCCUGUGACACAGGGACUCACCUCCAUCUGGCCCCUCUAUGUAUUUGCUGCCUACAAAUGGGUCAAAGCCAGCCC